This 613-nucleotide ribosomal RNA is filed under the name Lactococcus garvieae. RNAcentral's name for it is "bacterial SSU rRNA". It matches the Rfam family "Bacterial small subunit ribosomal RNA", at positions 76 to 674 of the family's 1533-position model. Lineage: Bacteria; Bacillati; Bacillota; Bacilli; Lactobacillales; Streptococcaceae. The record is from RNAcentral.
UAGCUUGCUAUUUUUAUGAAGAGCGGCGAACGGGUGAGUAACGCGUGGGAAAUCUGCCGAGUAGCGGGGGACAACGUUUGGAAACGAACGCUAAUACCGCAUAACAAUGAGAAUCGCAUGAUUCUUAUUUAAAAGAAGCAAUUGCUUCACUACUUGAUGAUCCCGCGUUGUAUUAGCUAGUUGGUAGUGUAAAGGACUACCAAGGCGAUGAUACAUAGCCGACCUGAGAGGGUGAUCGGCCACACUGGGACUGAGACACGGCCCAGACUCCUACGGGAGGCAGCAGUAGGGAAUCUUCGGCAAUGGGGGCAACCCUGACCGAGCAACGCCGCGUGAGUGAAGAAGGUUUUCGGAUCGUAAAACUCUGUUGUUAGAGAAGAACGUUAAGUAGAGUGGAAAAUUACUUAAGUGACGGUAUCUAACCAGAAAGGGACGGCUAACUACGUGCCAGCAGCCGCGGUAAUACGUAGGUCCCAAGCGUUGUCCGGAUUUAUUGGGCGUAAAGCGAGCGCAGGUGGUUUCUUAAGUCUGAUGUAAAAGGCAGUGGCUCAACCAUUGUGUGCAUUGGAAACUGGGAGACUUGAGUGCAGGAGAGGAGAGUGGAAUUCCAUGG